This 74-nucleotide transfer RNA is filed under the name Phycisphaerales bacterium. RNAcentral's name for it is "tRNA-Leu". It matches the Rfam family "tRNA". Rfam says of the family: Transfer RNA (tRNA) molecules are approximately 80 nucleotides in length. Their secondary structure includes four short double-helical elements and three loops (D, anti-codon, and T loops). Further hydrogen bonds mediate the characteristic L-shaped molecular structure. tRNAs have two regions of fundamental functional importance: the anti-codon, which is responsible for specific mRNA codon recognition, and the 3' end, to which the tRNAs corresponding amino acid is attached (by aminoacyl-tRNA synthetases). tRNAs cope with the degeneracy of the genetic code in two manners: having more than one tRNA (with a specific anti-codon) for a particular amino acid; and 'wobble' base-pairing, i.e. permitting non-standard base-pairing at the 3rd anti-codon position. Lineage: Bacteria; Pseudomonadati; Planctomycetota; Phycisphaerae; Phycisphaerales. The record is from RNAcentral.
GGCUCCGUAGCCCAACUGGCAGAGGCGGUGGUCUCAGAAACCACACAGUGCUGGUUCGAAUCCAGCCGGAGUCA